This 241-nucleotide ribosomal RNA is filed under the name uncultured Actinomycetales bacterium. Its description in RNAcentral is "partial 16S ribosomal RNA". It matches the Rfam family "Bacterial small subunit ribosomal RNA", at positions 88 to 334 of the family's 1533-position model. Lineage: Bacteria; Bacillati; Actinomycetota; Actinomycetes; Actinomycetales. The record is from RNAcentral.
UACUCGAGUGGCGAACGGGUGAGUAACACGUGGGUGAUCUGCCCUGCACUUCGGGAUAAGCCUGGGAAACUGGGUCUAAUACCGGAUAGGAGCCAUUUUUAGUGUGAUGGUUGGAAAGUUUUUCGGUGUAGGAUGAGCUUGCGGCCUAUCAGCUUGUUGGUGGGGUAAUGGCCUACCAAGGCGGCGACGGGUAGCCGGCCUGAGAGGGUGGACGGCACAUUGGGACUGAGAUACGGCCCAG